RNAcentral lists this long non-coding RNA (5246 nucleotides) under Homo sapiens (human). Its description in RNAcentral is "HSALNT0390467". Lineage: Eukaryota; Metazoa; Chordata; Mammalia; Primates; Hominidae. The record is from RNAcentral.
UCCUGGCCUCAGGUGAUCCACCCACUUCGGCCUCCCAAACUGUUGGGAUUACAGGCGUGAGCCAUCAAGCCUGACCUCAAGUUCCCUCUUUCUAAUCUGGAAUUGAGAAUAGCACUAGCAUCCAGGCCCACCUCAAAGGGUCAGACUGAAGUUCAGAUGGCCCAAGGAUGCACUAGAAAGUUCUUUAUGCAAUGUAAAUGAGAGUUGCCUACUCUUGUCAGGCUCAAGUACCUUCACUCUACAGGCAACUGGCUACAGGCUUCUCACCCUGAGCGGUGGUCAGCUCAGCCAACUCACCCUCUCCACCCUCCUCCCUCCCUCCUUUUUCACAGGAAACUUAAGAGUCAGAUCUCUUCCACUGCAAAUGGAGAUUCUUGAUUUGGAGAGAAUAAGAUAAAGGACCUGACAUCAAUCCUUACUCUUGAAAGCAUGUUGUUACUUUCUAAAUAUUAUUGAAAUUAAAAAAAAAAAAUCUUCCCCCCAAAUCAGUAUAUUUGAAUUGCUAACAAGCCUCUCUGCCUUGUUUUUAUCUCAAAGAAUAAAAUGCUGAGCCCUGCGUGGGAUGCUAGAUGCUAGAGAACUCCCCCAUCUCUCUCUCUCUCUCUCUCUCUCUCUCUCUCUCUCUCUCUCUCUCUCUCUCUCAGUUCUGAACAAGGAGGGAAGGGGUAAAGAGUCCUUAGUGAGCGCCUUCUGCAGGGACAACCCUUCUGGACCCAUCUGGAUGGGAGCAGCCAGGAGAGGCAAGAAGCAGCUGUAUUUGGUGGCACUGCCACAGCGUCUCCUCAGCCCCAGCAAGUGGCCUUUGGUCUAGAGUUGGUCCAUCUGGCCCGCACAAGGCUCGAAUCCAGCCCUAGAGACGCUCCCCGCCUGCUCCAGGUGGCCGGCACCCUAGACGGGGCAGGAAGGGCAGGCGCCAAGCCUCAAGUCUCAAACACGGUGCGGGGCUGCGCGGCAAGGAGAAACCCAGGAGAUGCUCGGGGUCGGGGCCCAGGGCAGGGAAAACCCUCAGCUCUGGUCAAAAGCCAAGUGAGCGAAGGAGGCGAUGCAACGUCACCCUGGUGGCCAAGGCAGGCACCCAGGUCUCGAGGUUCCAGGAGAGGGACGCGCUGUGACCACCAGCCCCCUAGGCUCCUGUCUGCUCGAUGAGCGUCCACUCGCCAGUUCCAGCCGCGAGCGCCCCCAGCACUCCCGGAGCUGGGCCGGGCGCCGCCUUCCCUCGGGCGGCCGGCAGGGGUCAGUGUUUGGCCGCAGGUGAACAGACAGCGGCCGGGGCUGAAUCUGGUUCUUCUAGCUGGGUCUUGCCCCUGCCAAUCUGUCUGGACUUGUCCCCUGGCCGUUAACUGGGUUCUAGCCUAUCGAGACUCCUCAUAUUCUCCCCACCCCCGACCACUACCUCCAUACUGUCCUUCCUAAGUCACCAGGCCUGCACCCUUCCAGAAGCAUAGAUCCCUGGAUACAUGGAUAAUUACUUCCUGGCCUUAUACCAGACAGUGAUGCGAGACUGGAAAGAGGACAUGGCACGGAGUCAGAAGAUUUGAGUUCAAGUUCCUGCUCUGCCAAUUACCAGCUGUGUGAUCUUGGUCCAGCCGAGCUGCCAUCUCUUCAAGGAAGUUUUCCCUGAAGCCCUCAGGUAGACCCGUUUUUCCAUGGCGGCCACAUCAGCAUGCAGCACAUUUAAUUGGAAGUCUCCACAUAUGAGUUGGUUUUCCUUACUUAAAAUAUGCUUAUCAUCCCUUGGAGGUCUGAUGCAUUUUUCUGUCUCUGCAGACCAGCUCCUCCCCCCUCCAAAUCUCAAUGGAAGAAUGCGACAUUCUGGAUUCAGCUACCCAAAGAGGGGUUUUUUCCCCCUCUUUGUCUCUAUUAUACAUUUUAUAGGAAGGAAUUCUGUCCCAGUUAAUUCAAACUGGGACCAGAGGAACAGGGUCCCGCUGCUCAAAAUGGCUGUCACCCGUGGGUAAGGGGAGCAGUCAGAGAGUCAUUGUGACUGGGGUGGCAGUCCCACUCCAAUCUGCCUUGUGGCUUCCUAGCCUGCAACAUACAUCCUCCCAGACAUACAAAAUGUGCCUCUGCCUGAGUCUUCCUGGCAGGGAGUUUGGUACCCCCCAACAUUGGGAGGGGAGCUUACAACACAGGACUAUCUCUUCCCAUAGAUAAUCUCCUCACAAAGCUCCACUCAGGACCACUUAUAUUCUUGAGCACUUGAAAAUAUUGGCUAUUUCCUUCUGACCCCCAUGGUUUCUUUUAAAAAAUUUGCUGUUGUUUGAAUUAUUUUUCUCUACAGGUAUUGACUGCUGCCUCAUGAAGGCUGGUCCUGUCUCUAUAGUGAAUAUUGUGCACCUCAGGGUAGAAUGGAGAGCAGAAGACUUCAAAUCAGGCAGUCUGGGUUCAGACCCCAAUUCUAGUGCUAAAUAGCUACGUGACUUUAGGCCGAUUGUGUGUGACUUCCCUGAGCCCCAGUCUCUUUGCCUGCAAAAUGAGAAAAAUUAUAACAAUGUCAUCGGUUGUUCUGAGGAUUCUGAGAGGAAUUAGUAGGAGAGAGAACUAAGAAGCUGCGGGCCUCUACAGAGCCAUUCAACUGGCAUUUCGGAAGAUGUUGCCCAUCAGAGUCAGACCUUCUUAGCAUCUUCCGGCUGGGCCCAAACUUCCCAAGACCAUUUGGACAAGGUCAUCUCUAUCCCACCAUGGCCUCCUCCCAGAGGAGGAGAAGAAUCAUGCUGUUACAGCAGAACCGAAGAUUUGGGCAAGGGAGCUAAUGAUUAUGUUCUGCGUCAGGUCAGAGAUGGGCUGGGAAAGCCACUCCAAAGCCAAGACAAGCAGUUUCCUGGAAAAAGAAGGCUGCGCGGAGCCCAGAGUGGCCUGGAUCCUGCCUCAUUUCCUGGACCAGCUCCUUAGGUGGUUACUGGAUUGCCAAUAAAGCAGAGCUUAUUAAAGUCAACGAGCUCAGGCUUCAUCGCCGCCAUGGUAUCCAAGCACCAGUCUGUCUGGGAUUUCAUUUGCCAGAUGGACAAAGGAGAGGUUGUUCCAAUACAUAUCCUGAGUGGUGGGGGUGGGGAGAGAAGGGGAAGAAUGCUCUCUAGAGAAUUCUCUUUGUCCUCUGAAGUAAAUAGAGAUCAUGUCUUCCCCAGCCACACUCAGUGAUCUGAAUCUCUUGGACUGUGGAUUUUUCCUUUACCUGCUGUGAAGCCUUGAAAAGUAUGAAUUAGCUUGAUAAUGAUCCUCUAAAGAUGUUCAAGAGUUAAAGACGUGUUUAAGUUCUUCAGGCAAUCCAAUAUGACUACGGGUUUCCAAAAAUUUGAAGGAAACUGAAAAUCAUAGUUCCCAAACCAGAUAUUUUCCGGUGUCCAGAUGUUCACUGGCAUGCAAACCAAAUGUCUGGAUUAUGAGCUCCUUUUUUCAUUUCUUUUUAUCAGCUUACAUCCAGAUGUUGGAUCCAACUGGUCAGAGGCCUGGGGCAGAGACAGAAAUCAAAUCUAGGGUGUUCAUCUAGAGUCUCCUGCUCCUCCAUUCCUGCUUCCUCCUCACGCUGCCCCCACAUCCUCCCCAACUCACCUUCAUGCUACAUCUCGGCAAAUACAGCUCAUAUCCAGGCACGGUGCAGCCCUUGACAGCUGGGUCCGCAAAGGCAGAUCGGGUAUAUCUUUAAAGAAAAGUUAUCUUAACCAUUGAGAAGCCUUCCUUCCUCAGAGGAGAGCACCUCCCCAGCAGACCUCCGAGGAGACCAAGGGCAGGACAGGAAGGGUGAAAGGAAGUUUCAGGACUGCAGGAAAUAAGAGCUUGGAGGUCAAGGGAGAGAUCAGAUAAAACAUGAAUCUGAUCAGCAUCCUAGUGGUCUAGAGUGGAGACAAUCUGCGGAGUCAACCUCAGUAAGGACACACAUAGAGAAGAACCAAAGCCUCUAAAGACGAAGCUGAGAAGUGUACGGUCGUAGAAGACUCGUGUCUGUUAUUCUUAAAAGCUCAAGGAGAUGUUCUGCCAAUUGAAUGGAAACUGUCCAUAGUGGGGAGCAGAGAGCCUCAUCUUUUCUGGAACUGAACAUCCAUCCUUAAGGCCAGAUUUCUCCCAUCACCAACUUUAACUCCUGCCCUAGCCCUCUCUCUUCCUUUUCAAAACCCUCUCCACCCAGGAAGGGAGAUUCUGGAGCCAAGACUGUACCAGCCACACCUCCCCAGAGUUGUUAAGGAAGGAACUCGAAGCCAGGGGUGGUCUUCUGGCAAGCACCCCCACUACCAGUAGCAGGACAGAUGUGUUUCUAAUGGACUACACUAUCCCCGGAGGUCACAUGAUUCAGGCUGCCAAGGGUACCUGCCCUUGGGAAAUCAACUCCCGAAGAUAAAUUGGGAUUGGGUCCUGAGAAGAUCCAUGGAAGCCCAGAGGACCCUGCCUCUCUCUGUUGCUUCAUGCUGUAGAGGCAGUACUGGGGAGGGCCUGCCCCACAUCCGGCAGGGCAGCUGGAACCAUGUGUUUGAUGACACUCUGCUCCCUCAAUGUGGAGCCUCAUCCUCAUCUCACAGUCUAGCAGGCCUCUGGUGGGUUAGGCUUGUCUCACCCAGUGUGUGAGUUUUUUUGGAAGUGACCUGAUUUUGGAGUUUCCCUCCAAGCCUUUCUCAGGUACAUGCUUUCUCUUUUAUUCUGUCUUCUUUUUUUGAUCUUCUUAAAUCUGAUUUUCUCCUUUUUCCCUCUCUUGUCUCCAUCUUUUUUCCAGUCUCUCGCUUCUCUUUAUUUCUCCCCAUAUUUCACUCUGUUCUCUCACCCCAACCUUUCCCUUCUGUUUCUCUCCCUCCCUCUCUUCCCACCCCCUGCCUGGCCUUCCAUAUAUCAAGCAGAGUUUUAUCACCUUAUGCAGGGGCAGCCCUGCCACCUGCCAUAAAGUUGAUAGGCUAAUGACAUUUUGUGGAUAUUGCCAUGUCACAAGUCCAGGACAGCAUCAAAAAUAGCCCUGAUGUCUAAACCACUUCAGCUAUCUUUUUUAUUUUUAAAAUAAAUACAUUCACAUGCUUUUAAGAAACUAUAAAAAUAUAUAAAGUAAAAAGAUCUUUCUCUCACACUGUCUCCACCUCUCCUGGUCUCACCGUUGUGCUUAGGGGAAACCAUUGUGAUUAGUUUCUCCUGUGUCCUUCCAGAGUGUCUUUAUGCAAAUGAAAAUUAUUGUGAUAAUAUAUUCCUAUUUUCCCCCUUACUACACAAAAGAUAGACUACCAUAAUCCCAUUCUGCACUUUUUUUUCACUUGAUAAUAAAAACAUGAUUU